This 116-nucleotide ribosomal RNA is filed under the name Escherichia coli. The record is from RNAcentral. Lineage: Bacteria; Pseudomonadati; Pseudomonadota; Gammaproteobacteria; Enterobacterales; Enterobacteriaceae.
CUCGGCGGCCUUAGCGCGGUGGUCCCACCUGACCCCAUGCCGAACUCAGAAGUGAAACGCCGUAGCGCCGAUGGUAGUGUGGGGUCUCCCCAUGCGAGAGUAGGGAACUGCCAGGC